UCGAAACGACAGGGGAGCGCCACGGUAGGCGCUGAGAGUGCGAAAGAACGCAGACCCUCGAACCUGAUCCGGGUCAUGCCGGCGAAGGGAGUCGAGAUUUCUCUCCC
This 107-nucleotide non-coding RNA is filed under the name Actinobaculum suis. RNAcentral describes it as "TPP sequence". It matches the Rfam family "TPP riboswitch aptamer (THI element)". Rfam says of the family: Vitamin B(1) in its active form thiamin pyrophosphate (TPP) is an essential coenzyme that is synthesised by coupling of pyrimidine and thiazole moieties in bacteria. The record is from Rfam by way of RNAcentral. Lineage: Bacteria; Bacillati; Actinomycetota; Actinomycetes; Actinomycetales; Actinomycetaceae.